RNAcentral lists this ribosomal RNA (253 nucleotides) under uncultured bacterium. RNAcentral's name for it is "partial 16S ribosomal RNA". It matches the Rfam family "Bacterial small subunit ribosomal RNA", at positions 524 to 776 of the family's 1533-position model. The record is from RNAcentral.
UACGAAGGGGGCUAGCGUUGCUCGGAAUCACUGGGCGUAAAGCGCACGUAGGCGGCUUUCUAAGUCAGGGGUGAAAUCCUGGAGCUCAACUCCAGAACUGCCUUUGAUACUGGAGAGCUUGAGUCCGGGAGAGGUGAGUGGAACUCCGAGUGUAGAGGUGAAAUUCGUAGAUAUUCGGAAGAACACCAGUGGCGAAGGCGGCUCACUGGCCUGGUACUGACGCUGAUGUGCGAAAGCGUGGGGAGCAAACAGG